GGUCAGGGGAGCUGGGUAACAGGAGAGCUGCCUCCUCAGAACAUUCAUAUUUGAAUUUUAACUUUUAUUAGGCUAACUUAAGUAAACAUCUAUUAUAUUGCCCCAUAGAGAUUUCGUUAUAUUAAACCACAGAGGCUUAUCUGGGGAAAAAAAAUCAAAGAGAAAUUAAGACAUUCCUGAUAAAUAACAACUGAGAGAAUUCUUCACUAGCCGACUUGCCCUAAAAGAAAUAACAGAGAGUCCUUCAGGCACAAAUGGAAGAACACCAAACAGUAAUUCAAAUCCACAUGAAGAAAAACAGAGCACUGAUAAAGGCGCCUAUAGAGGGUCUUCAAUCUAGUUCCACAACAGAGAGAACUGAGAAUCUUGGACAGCUUUGAGCAGAACACCACUGAGAGGAUGAAAGAACUAAAGAACGAGAUCAGUGAUGGCAGGUUACACACACCAGGAAUCUUCCUGCUGACGUAGGAGGCUGAGGGGAGAACGGGACCUCAUUUUCCACUGAAGGAAGGAAUGAGAAAUUUUUUGAGUGAACUCCAUGUGCCGGGCACUAUGUUUAGC
Molecule: long non-coding RNA, 561 nt
Filed under: Mustela putorius furo (domestic ferret)
Lineage: Eukaryota; Metazoa; Chordata; Mammalia; Carnivora; Mustelidae
Description: lncRNA (ENSMPUG00000024269.1)
Source: RNAcentral